RNAcentral lists this ribosomal RNA (497 nucleotides) under uncultured bacterium. RNAcentral describes it as "partial 16S ribosomal RNA". It matches the Rfam family "Bacterial small subunit ribosomal RNA", at positions 28 to 507 of the family's 1533-position model. The record is from RNAcentral.
GACGAACGCUGGCGGCGUGCCUAAUACACGCAAGUUGAGCGCUGAAGGUUGGUACUUGUACCAACUGGAUGAGCAGCGAACGGGUGAGUAACGCGUGGGGAAUCUGCCUUUGAGCGGGGGACAACAUUUGGAAACGAAUGCUAAUACCGCAUAAAAACUUUAAACACAAGUUUUAAGUUUGAAAGAUGCAAUUGCAUCACUCAAAGAUGAUCCCGCGUUGUAUUAGCUAGUUGGUGAGGUAAAGGCUCACCAAGGCGAUGAUACAUAGCCGACCUGAGAGGGUGAUCGGCCACAGUGGGACUGAGACACGGCCCAAACUCCUACGGGAGGCAGCAGUAGGGAAUCUUCGGCAAUGGACGAAAGUCUGACCGAGCAACGCCGCGUGAGUGAAGAAGGUUUUCGGAUCGUAAAACUCGGUUGGUAGAGAAGAACGUUGGUGAGAGUGGAAAGCUCAUCAAGUGACGGUAACUACCCAGAAAGGGACGGCUAACUACGUG